UGAUAAACCUGUAACAAGUUUAAAAGGGCUUAUAAAAUCAUGUAAACUAAUUGAUAUUUGGAGAAAUAAAAAUAAAAAUACUAGACAAUUUACUUGGUGUAGGAAAGAUAGAACAGAAGCUACCAGAAUUGAUUAUUUUUUUGUUUCUAAAGAAGUACAAAAAAAAACUGCAAAAAUUGUGAUAUUAGACCUAUUGUCCAAAAAAUAACUGACCAUAAUGCAGUGUCACUCAAAAUAAAUACUGAAAGAGGAAAUAAAGGAAGGGGGUAUUGGAAGUUAAAUGCUAUCAUAAUGAACAAUGAAGAAUAUGUUUAUGUUAUUAAAAAGCUAAUAUCUAAAUAUGAAAAAGAAUUAACCAACUGUGAUGAUUUGGGGAUUCUUUGGGAUAAUUUGAAAAUAGAAGUAAGG
This 408-nucleotide long non-coding RNA is filed under the name Mytilus galloprovincialis (Mediterranean mussel). The record is from RNAcentral. Lineage: Eukaryota; Metazoa; Mollusca; Bivalvia; Mytilida; Mytilidae.